This is a non-coding RNA of Picea glauca (white spruce), 123 nucleotides long. The record is from Rfam. Lineage: Eukaryota; Viridiplantae; Streptophyta; Pinopsida; Pinales; Pinaceae.
AUGUACAUUCCUACAACAUAGUGUUAAUGUAUCGGAUCCCAUUAGAACUCCGCAAUUAAGUGCCCUCAGGCUAGAGUAGUACUAGGAUGGGCGACCGCCCGGGAAGUCCUAGUAUUUUACAUG